GGCAACCUGUUAGGGUCUGCUUUUGUCCUCUGGGAGCUUUCCUUGUUUGGUUUUCGUAGUAAAUCUUACUGCUGCUCAGUGUUUGUGUCUGUGCUGCGUUUGUGAGCUGCAACGCUCACGGUAAAGGUCUACAGCUUCACUCCCGAAGCCAGCGAGACUGUAAAUCCACUGGGAGGGGCAAAGAACUCUGGACGUGCUGCAUUUUUAGGAGCUGUGACACUCACCGCGGAGGUUUGCAGUUUCACUCCUGAAAUCAGUGUAGACCACGAACGCACCAGAAGGAACAAACUCCAGACACACCGUUUUUAGGUAACCGUAACAUGUACCGCGAGGGUCUGCGGCUUCAUUCUUGAAGACGAGACUAAGAACCCACCAACUUCUGGACACAAAACCACCCCAAAAAGUGAGUUUCUAAAGGAGAAGCUAAAAAUAAAGACCACGAAAGUGUUGCCCAUGGUGAUAGCUCCAGACGUCCGGAGACGGUGUUCAGCGCUGCUGCAGGAGAGUUGGGGACUAAGUGUCCUUCGGUUUGGACUGUGCAGCUCGGGUCACCUUCUCUGUGGAACAGCAAGUGAAGAAAGAGGCGCAGAGCCCUGUGUUCCAAACCCUGGAGACAAUUGAGAAAGUGGGAACCCAUUAUUCCCCAAGCCCAGCCAGC
This 658-nucleotide long non-coding RNA is filed under the name Homo sapiens (human). RNAcentral describes it as "non-protein coding LINC01511:8". Lineage: Eukaryota; Metazoa; Chordata; Mammalia; Primates; Hominidae. The record is from RNAcentral.